RNAcentral lists this ribosomal RNA (267 nucleotides) under uncultured Glomus. RNAcentral describes it as "partial small subunit ribosomal RNA". It matches the Rfam family "Eukaryotic small subunit ribosomal RNA", at positions 605 to 877 of the family's 1831-position model. The record is from RNAcentral. Lineage: Eukaryota; Fungi; Glomeromycota; Glomeromycetes; Glomerales; Glomeraceae.
UAAAGUUUCUGCAGUUAAAAAGCUCGUAGUUGAAUUUAGGGACCAUCAUGUCGGUCGUGCCUCGGUACGUACUGGCAUUGUUGGUUUCUCCCUUCUGACGAACCAUGAUGUCAUUUAUUUGGUGUUGUGGGGAAUCAGGACUGUUACUUUGAAAAAAUUAGAGUGUUUAAAGCAGGCUCACGCUUGAAUACAUUAGCAUGGAAUAAUGAAAUAGGACGUUUGAUUCUAUUUUGUUGGUUUCUAGGAUCGACGUAAUGAUUAAUAGGG